CAUAUUUAAUUUUGUAUGAAAUGGGAUCGUUUGCCUACGUUUGCCGUUAGGGGCGCUGUUCCAACUGCAUACACAAUUGGGUUG
Molecule: microRNA precursor, 84 nt
Filed under: Bombyx mori (domestic silkworm)
Lineage: Eukaryota; Metazoa; Arthropoda; Insecta; Lepidoptera; Bombycidae
Description: mir-2807 microRNA precursor family
Rfam family: mir-2807 microRNA precursor family
Source: Rfam by way of RNAcentral